Non-coding RNA from Triticum aestivum (bread wheat), 196 nucleotides. The record is from Rfam. NCBI's taxonomy places the organism in Eukaryota, Viridiplantae, Streptophyta, Magnoliopsida, Poales, Poaceae.
AUACCGUUCUCGGCCUUUUGGCUAAGAUCAAGUGUAGUAUCUGUUCUUAUCAGUUUAAUAUCUGAUAUGUGGGUCAUGUGCCCACAACGAUAUUAAAUUUAUUUUUUAUGGGGGAGGGUCCAUCAUAGUGGCUUGCUGCUAGGGCCCUCAGGUGUCACCUGGGCGUUGCACUACAGCCCAGGCUGGCGCACCCCAA